UUCUCGGCCCAUCUAGCACGUGUAGAACGCAACCCUAAUCAGAUGCGCUCCUUCGCUUCUCUUCGAUUGACGACGAGACGAUCGACAUUCCGUAACAGUGGGCGUUUUGAUGUAUUCGUUGGAAUAUUGGAAUAAUCGACGUCCAUUCUGCUUCAUCCUCCUUUACUCGACGGCGUUACUAACCUCCAUUAUUCUCCAAAUCAAUUAUCCCCACAACGUGCCAUUGAAUGGCGAUUCUUCGGCUUCUCCGUUAAUCCUAGAUAUUGAUAUAUAUUAUCCGUUUGCUUCAUAUGUGACUCAUUGUUUUUAUACUCUCUCUGCACUAUACCUUGCCAAAUUCUAGCUCACUGUAAUGGCGACUUCCUAAGUGAACCCUUCUAAUCUGAAGAUUGGCCGUUGUAAGGAGAUUGUGGUGGGCCGUUUGCUUCCAUUCUGAGAAGCUCGGAAUCUGAAGAAAAGAGGCGAACUUAUUGGAGUUGACAUGUUGUUUGGACGAGAAGUCAACCUUGAUACAAGGUUCCAUCGUCCCCACACCGGCUUAACAGUUUCAAGAAUCUACAGAGGGAAGGAAGAGUGUACUAGCUCAGUUAUCCUUAUGUUGCUAGAAGCAACAUUCACUUCAAGCUGUGUGACCCACCGGUCUGUGUUUGAUUUACAGGGCAUACCAACUUUUUCGAGUUGAUGAACCAUAUUGAUUUCAUUCCAGAUGAGAAUUAUUCAAACGUACAGGAUCACACUCUUUGACAACAAAAACUGAGCCACGCAGGGAUUUUUAAAAGAGUUUUGUGGAGGUGGGGCUGGAUCCUCUUCAACUACAUCCAAGUAUGGUGGUGUUAAGACCAGGAGAUUGAUAGCUACUUUCUCAACUCAACCCCGACUGUACAUCCACUUAGCAAGUCCACUACUAAGACUCUAUCAAGCUGAGGCUGUGGAGUCCAUUUGCAAGGCUGAGGUGGCUGAUAUUGACAAGGAUGGUGCUAUAUCCCCUGUUAUAAGUGCUCGCACAAACUGCUUCAUUGAUUCACAUCUUACUAUAGUUUAUUUAAAGUAUAGACUUCAUACAUUGAGUUAGAAAAUGGUGAUUAACUUUACACA
This is a long non-coding RNA of Raphanus sativus (radish), 1095 nucleotides long. RefSeq lists it as uncharacterized. The transcript has 5 exons. The record is from RefSeq and is a predicted model, not a curated record. NCBI's taxonomy places the organism in Eukaryota, Viridiplantae, Streptophyta, Magnoliopsida, Brassicales, Brassicaceae.